GGCCGUGUGGCCCAAUGGCAAGGCGCUUGACUACGAUCCACAUGUAAUCAAGAGAUUCCAGGUUCGACCCCUGGCACGGUCA
RNAcentral lists this transfer RNA (82 nucleotides) under Karstenula rhodostoma CBS 690.94. It matches the Rfam family "tRNA". From Rfam's summary of the family: Transfer RNA (tRNA) molecules are approximately 80 nucleotides in length. Their secondary structure includes four short double-helical elements and three loops (D, anti-codon, and T loops). Further hydrogen bonds mediate the characteristic L-shaped molecular structure. tRNAs have two regions of fundamental functional importance: the anti-codon, which is responsible for specific mRNA codon recognition, and the 3' end, to which the tRNAs corresponding amino acid is attached (by aminoacyl-tRNA synthetases). tRNAs cope with the degeneracy of the genetic code in two manners: having more than one tRNA (with a specific anti-codon) for a particular amino acid; and 'wobble' base-pairing, i.e. permitting non-standard base-pairing at the 3rd anti-codon position. Lineage: Eukaryota; Fungi; Ascomycota; Dothideomycetes; Pleosporales; Didymosphaeriaceae. The record is from Rfam by way of RNAcentral.